AUCGAGAUUUUUUGAAAAAUAACUACAAACCUGGAAGGACCUUGAGAAGAAAGCUUGCUGAGAAUGAGGAGGUUAACGCACCGUCGUUGAGGAGGUGGAUUGAAGAGGGGAAGUGUGCAAUGAAGGCGUUCAUGUGGCGGAUUGAAGAGGCGUAGGCGUGCGCGGAGAGGCGAAGUGGUGAACAAAUGAGAAAACGCGUGCGCACGGAGUGAAAAGGGGAAAGUUUGGGUUUGCUGUGGAGGAAAAUAAAAAUUAAGGAAAAGAAAAAAAAAUAAAGGCGGUUUUAAAAAACACCGCUAGAUAUGUCUCUAGGUUCCCAAUUUCUUUUUUGUAG
Molecule: long non-coding RNA, 334 nt
Filed under: Ananas comosus (pineapple)
Lineage: Eukaryota; Viridiplantae; Streptophyta; Magnoliopsida; Poales; Bromeliaceae
Description: long non-coding RNA (ACOM_LNC026501)
Source: RNAcentral